This 370-nucleotide ribosomal RNA is filed under the name uncultured bacterium. RNAcentral's name for it is "bacterial SSU rRNA". It matches the Rfam family "Bacterial small subunit ribosomal RNA", at positions 110 to 507 of the family's 1533-position model. The record is from RNAcentral.
GUAACACGUUGGAACCUGCCCCAAAGUGAGGAAUAAGCCACCGAAAGGUGGUCUAAUACUUCAUAAUAUCCAUCUCGUAUGGAUUAAAGCUUUAUGCGCUUUGGGAGGGGCCUGCGUAACAUUAGCUUGUUGGUGAGGUAAAAGCUCACCAAGGCUUCGAUGUUUAACUGGUUUGAGAGGAUGACCAGUCACACUGGGACUGAGAUACGGCCCAGACUCCUACGGGAGGCAGCAGUAAGGAAUCUUCCACAAUGGGGGCAACCCUGAUGGAGCAAUACCGCGUGCAGGAUGAAGCGUUUCGGCGUGUAAACUGCUUUUAUCACCGAAGAUUAUGACUGUAGGUGAAGAAUAAGGACCGGCUAACUACGUG